GGGAGUGGCAAGCGUUAUCCGGAAUUAUUGGGCGUAAAGCGUCCGCAGGCGGCCCUUCAAGUCUGCUGUUAAAAAGUGGAGCUUAACUCCAUCAUGGCAGUGGAAACUGUUGGGCUUGAGUGUGGUAGGGGCAGAGGGAAUUCCCGGUGUAGCGGUGAAAUGCGUAGAUAUCGGGAAGAACACCAGUGGCGAAGGCGCUCUGCUGGGCCAUCACUGACGCUCAUGGACGAAAGCCAGGGGGGGAGCGAAAGGGAUUAGAUACCCCGUGUAGUCCUGGCCGUAAACCGAUGAACACUAGGUGUCGGGGGUAAUCGACCCCCCCCCGUCCGGUGUCGUAGCCAACGCGUUAAGUGUUCCGCCUGGGGAGUACGCACGCAAGUGUG
Molecule: ribosomal RNA, 383 nt
Filed under: uncultured organism
Description: partial 16S ribosomal RNA
Rfam family: Bacterial small subunit ribosomal RNA
Source: RNAcentral